AAAUAUUAUUAUAAUCCUGUAUUUUUCUUUCUCCAUUUACAGUUUCAUCAUACACAAAGGCACGUUCAGGUUCGUUUAAAGCUCUUGAACAAAGUGAAAGGAAAAUUUCUGUGCGAAGCAACUCAGCCAGUAUGCAUACCCAGUAAACUCCUCUAAAACCUAAUAAUCCUACAACUACCCCAACAGUUGGGAGUUAGAAGUGACCCUGCUAAACGGAAUGGAACUUUGCUAAUGAAAAGCCUUUGAAAAUGGGAAUCCCGUCUGCUCCUAAAUACAGGUGGAAAAUACAGGCUCCUGGUGGCAUUUCCUCCAAUCUCAAUGGAAUUAGAAAGGAACUCUGUAUCUUCAUACAUCUCUGUUGACUACAAGACUAGGUCAACAGGGGGACAAGGCAGUCAAAGGCAUCACUGCAGCAAGCAAGAUUUAAACCUCCAUCAUGUCAUUGAUCCACCCCCAAAUGCCCUCUCCUGCGGGUUCCUCACGGCAAGGUUGGCCCAACAGGGUUCGUGGUCUGCCAGCUGUGCACCUACUGCAGAGACGAAAAGUACCCUGCAGAGCUGGCAUGCCCUGUGUGACUCCAGAGCUCAAGAAAGGUGAGGGAGAAGGACUCACAGCAACUGGGAAGUUCCCACGGAUGAGACAGAGUAUCUGGAGUGAAGAAAAGGACUAAAAGGACUUGGAAAAAACGACUAUGAGAUAAGAGAAGGAAAAGAAAAGCUGAAUUUGCACUUUGGAAGAAAAGGGAUGAUAACAAAAGAAGUAGGCAAGUGACAGCCUCUAAUUCCUAGACUGCUCCAAACGUACAG
RNAcentral lists this long non-coding RNA (806 nucleotides) under Struthio camelus australis. Its description in RNAcentral is "lncRNA (ENSSCUG00000011026.1)". Lineage: Eukaryota; Metazoa; Chordata; Aves; Struthioniformes; Struthionidae. The record is from RNAcentral.